Ficedula albicollis (Collared flycatcher) is the source of this 480-nucleotide long non-coding RNA. RefSeq lists it as uncharacterized. NCBI's taxonomy places the organism in Eukaryota, Metazoa, Chordata, Aves, Passeriformes, Muscicapidae. The transcript has 3 exons. The record is from RefSeq and is a predicted model, not a curated record.
GGGGCUCCGGGGAAAUCGCGGGCAAAACGCCGGGAUUGGAGAGUGUGGAGUGUUCCAGAGGCCUGUGGUCGUGGCUGCCUUCUCAGGGCUGUCAUUUGCACGAGGUCAGGAUAAUUUGGGAAACCUUCCUGGUAUUUAAUUGAUGUGCUGACCUGUCUCAACGAGCCUAUUUCAGAUUGCAGGAAGAUGGAUUCUCCAGCCAGUUCCGCCACCACAGGCUGCGGAUCCCGAGCCCAUUGAACCCUCCAGGACCUGGACACUGGACCUGCCGUCCUGCCUUCUCCCUUAUCUCGGUGCUUGGCAGGUGCCAUGGAUUUCACACUUCCACUGACCUCUGAGCGCUGCCAAAGCCAGGGAGGCACAUCGGGCAGAUAACGUGUCCCCAGUGUCCCCAUUCCACCUCUGCCUUCCCGAGUCCCUUAGGCUCUGGGGAGAGUUACUUAAAAAUAUGCCAGAUUUAAGGUCUGUCUGAAGUCAAAU